This 118-nucleotide small nuclear RNA is filed under the name Paramormyrops kingsleyae. RNAcentral's name for it is "U1 spliceosomal RNA (ENSPKIG00000021678.1)". Lineage: Eukaryota; Metazoa; Chordata; Actinopteri; Osteoglossiformes; Mormyridae. The record is from RNAcentral.
AUACUUACCUGGCAGGAGAGAUACCAUGAUCGCGAAGGUGGUUCACCCAGGGUGAGGCUCGGCCAUUGAUCCGUUCCCUAAGUCUGUCUUUAAGUCGAAGGUAAGUUGGAAAAAUAAC